This 433-nucleotide ribosomal RNA is filed under the name uncultured bacterium. RNAcentral's name for it is "partial 16S ribosomal RNA". It matches the Rfam family "Bacterial small subunit ribosomal RNA", at positions 29 to 507 of the family's 1533-position model. The record is from RNAcentral.
AACGAACGCCGGCGGCAUGCCUAACACAUGCAAGUCGAACGAAACCUUCGGGGCUGGUGGCGCACGUGUGCGUAACGCGUGGGAAGCUGCCCUUAGGUUCGGAAGAACUCACCGUACGGGGUACUAAGAACGGAUAAUGACAUCGGAACAAGGAUUUAUCGACUUUGGCUGGGUCCGCGUUGGAUUAGCUAGUUGGUAGGGUAAAAGCCUACCAAGGCGACGAUCCAUAGCUGGUCUGUGAGGAUGAUCAGCAACACUGGGACUGGGACACGGCCGAGACUCCUACGCGAGGCAGGAGUGGGGAAUAUUGGACUGUGGGCGGAAGGCUGAUGCAGCUAGGCUGCGUGAGUUCUGAAGGCAUUAGGGUUGUAAUGCUGUUUUAACCGGGAUGAUAAUGACAGUACCGGGAGAAUAAGCUCCGGCUAACUCCGUG